AUGGCUUACUAUUCAGAUCAUCAUGCUUAUGCGAGCAACACUACAAACAGCACGGAAAGUAUUCAAGACCUGAUAAGUAAUAUUUCCCAUCGAUUAGAUGAUUUAGCUCGGCAGCGAGAAGUAGUUUUUUAUGAUAGGCCUAGCUCUUAUGAUCCUUUUUCUAGAGGCCAUCCUUAUGUUGCUCCUACCUGCCAUAUUUGUGGAUUUCAGGGCCAUACGCCCGCUGAAUGUCAGCGUGGUUACUCUUACCCUCCAGAUUGUUUUGGCAUGAGCUUCGCUCAAGAGCAUAGCUCAUACCAAAACAAUUACUCACAUGGGUGGCCUGAAAACCCGAAUAUGUCAUAUAGGAGCAACAACCUUCAGAUCUCACCAUUUGUUUCUAGUAAUCAUAUGCAGGGAUUUAGGUACAAUGAGGAGAGCCACAGCUAUGCACCACAACAAUGCUAUUCACCUCCUACUCAUAUACCUCAACACCAGGAGACAUGUCCAAUGGAGUUAAAUGGUCCUCCAUUUGGUCAACCAUCACCUUCAACACAAGUGCCUACUCAAGAUGAGUUCGAUGACAUAGACAAGCUCACACUUUUGAGUCUCGAGUUCACUUGGAGUGCCGAGGAUGACCCUAUUAGGAAGGUUAUACUAGAGGAAAUGAAGAAGAUCAAGAGUGGGAAUGAGCUAGUGGAAGAAGUAAAGAAGAUUGAGAAGAACAUCAACGCUGGCAGUACUAUUUCUUCACAGCUUGAGCUGAGUAAUUCUGGGAUUCCCCUUGAUACAUGUGAGGUUCCAAUACCGUCACAUCCAGCUGAGCAAGAUAGCAAGUGCCUUGAGCAUGAGAUACCUCAGAUUGAAGAUGAACUAGAAGACAAGGAACAAGAUGGUCAAGAGCUGCAAUUCCCAAGUGAUCAAGUUGAAGACUCAUCAUCUACUACUCCUGAAGAAGUACAAGAAGUUGUUGUAGAUGAAGAUGAAGAACCUGAGAUUCAUUGUCCUAUUAUCAUACAUGAGUAUGAUGUGUCAGGUUUACCCAAUCCUUUUGAUGACAUGAGUCCUUAUGAUUUAUUUGCUUCUACCUUGCAUUACAUGAUGCCAUCACUUAAGAUUGAUUUGAAAAAUCAUUUACUUGGGUAUGAUGAUACAUAUACUGUUGGUGGCAUUGCUCUCAUUUGUGAUGAUCACAAUUACUUUCCUCAUGCUAGUCUUGAGCUUAAUGAUAAAUGUCAUCCUCGUGUGAGUAUUAACCAUGCUGAUUUCUGCCAUCCUAAACAUGUGCUUUAUAGUUAUGCUUAUAUAAUUGGAUAUUCCAUUGAUGACUUGGAGGGCAUCGACCGUAUCACUUGUAGUUGUUUGUGUGAGUCUUAUUUAAGGCUUUUGCUACUGCACUGUUUACUACAUGCUGACCAGGUUCGUGGUGACAUUCCUUGGGAUCCUGGUGGAGUCAGAGCAUGGCGAUGA
RNAcentral lists this ribosomal RNA (1449 nucleotides) under Triticum aestivum (bread wheat). Its description in RNAcentral is "partial small subunit ribosomal RNA". The record is from RNAcentral. Lineage: Eukaryota; Viridiplantae; Streptophyta; Magnoliopsida; Poales; Poaceae.